GACGAACGCUGGCGGCGUGCUUAACACAUGCAAGUCGAGCGGUAAGGCCCUUUCGGGGGUACGACGAGCGGCGAACGGGUGAGUAACACGUGGGUGACCUGCCCUUACGCUCUGGGAUAAGCCUGGGAAACUGGGUCUAAUACCGGAUAUGACUCCAUGACGCAUGUUGUGGGGUGGAAAGCCUUGUGCGGCUAGGGAUGGGCCCGCGGCCUAUCAGCUUGUUGGUGGGGUGAUGGCCACCAAGGCGACGACGGGUAGCCGGCCUGAGAGGGCGACCGGCCACACUGGGACUGAGACACGGCCCAGACUCCUACGGGAGGGCAGCAGUGGGGAAGUCUUGCGCAAUGGGCGAAAGCCUGACGCAGCGACGCCGCGUGAGGGAUGAC
This 386-nucleotide ribosomal RNA is filed under the name uncultured bacterium. Its description in RNAcentral is "bacterial SSU rRNA". It matches the Rfam family "Bacterial small subunit ribosomal RNA", at positions 28 to 412 of the family's 1533-position model. The record is from RNAcentral.